GAUGAAGAACGUAGCGAAUUGCGAUAAGUAAUGUGAAUUGCAGAUUUUCAGUGAAUCAUCGAAUCUUUGAACGCACAUUGCGCCCCUUGGUAUUCCGAGGGGCAUGCCUGUUCGAGCGUCAUUACACCACUCAAGCACCGCUUGGUAUUGGGCAUCGUCCGUCGAAAGGCGGGCGUGCCUCGAAGACCUCGGCGGGGUUUCUCCAACUUCGGGCGUAGUAGAGUUAAAUCAAAACGUCUUAUAAGCUUGGUGAGAUCUCAUUGCCGUUAAACCUUUUAUUUUUUCAGGUUGACCUCGGAUCAGGUAGGGAUACCCGCUGAACUUAAGCAUAUCAAUAAGCGGAGGA
This 346-nucleotide unclassified non-coding RNA is filed under the name soil metagenome. Its description in RNAcentral is "partial contains 5.8S ribosomal RNA, internal transcribed spacer 2, and large subunit ribosomal RNA". The stretch from base 1 to 121 matches the Rfam family "5.8S ribosomal RNA", at positions 35 to 154 of the family's 154-position model. The record is from RNAcentral.